GAUAUUUUUACUUCCUGCGAACAAUUUUCGUGAAAUUUAUUUGGUUAACCGCGUAAAAUUAAAUACCGACGGAAUUCUGACGAAAAUAAACCGACGGAUCCAUAUGCUUCGGAAUUCGGUCGGAUAGGUUUUAAAGACAAAACCUGACACUUCUUCCUCCUCUUCAUUUCUAUGGAUCAACUCAACUCUCUUCUCUCCCGGCGAUUCUUCCCUCUCCCACCGCGAAUCUCUCUCCCUCCAGCGAAUCUCUCUCUCAAA
This 258-nucleotide long non-coding RNA is filed under the name Brassica napus (rape). Its description in RNAcentral is "long non-coding RNA (BNAP_LNC011196)". The record is from RNAcentral. Lineage: Eukaryota; Viridiplantae; Streptophyta; Magnoliopsida; Brassicales; Brassicaceae.